Molecule: ribosomal RNA, 1345 nt
Filed under: uncultured bacterium
Lineage: Bacteria
Description: partial 16S ribosomal RNA
Rfam family: Bacterial small subunit ribosomal RNA
Source: RNAcentral
GACGAACGUUGGCGGCGUGCUUAACACAUGCAAGUCGAACGGAAAGGCCCUGCUUUUGUGGGGUGCUCGAGUGGCGAACGGGUGAGUAACACGUGAGUAACCUGCCCUUGACUUUGGGAUAACUUCAGGAAACUGGGGCUAAUACCGGAUAGGAGCUCCUGCUGCAUGGUGGGGGUUGGAAAGUUUCGGCGGUUGGGGAUGGACUCGCGGCUUAUCAGCUUGUUGGUGGGGUAGUGGCUUACCAAGGCUUUGACGGGUAGCCGGCCUGAGAGGGUGACCGGCCACAUUGGGACUGAGAUACGGCCCAGACUCCUACGGGAGGCAGCAGUGGGGAAUAUUGCACAAUGGGCGGAAGCCUGAUGCAGCAACGCCGCGUGCGGGGUGACGGCCUUCGGGUUGUAAACCGCUUUCGCCUGUGACGAAGCGUGAGUGACGGUAAUGGGUAAAGAAGCACCGGCUAACUACGUGCCAGCAGCCGCGGUGAUACGUAGGGUGCGAGCGUUGUCCGGAUUUAUUGGGCGUAAAGGGCUCGUAGGUGGUUGAUCGCGUCGGAAGUGUAAUCUUGGGGCUUAACCCUGAGCGUGCUUUCGAUACGGGUUGACUUGAGGAAGGUAGGGGAGAAUGGAAUUCCUGGUGGAGCGGUGGAAUGCGCAGAUAUCAGGAGGAACACCAGUGGCGAAGGCGGUUCUCUGGGCCUUUCCUGACGCUGAGGAGCGAAAGCGUGGGGAGCGAACAGGCUUAGAUACCCUGGUAGUCCACGCUGUAAACGGUGGGUACUAGGUGUGGGGUCCAUUCCACGGGUUCCGUGCCGUAGCUAACGCUUUAAGUACCCCGCCUGGGGAGUACGGCCGCAAGGCUAAAACUCAAAGGAAUUGACGGGGCCCCGCACAAGCGGCGGAGCAUGCGGAUUAAUUCGAUGCAACGCGUAGAACCUUACCUGGGUUUGACAUGGAUCGGGAGUGCUCAGAGAUGGGUGUGCCUCUUUUGGGGUCGGUUCACAGGUGGUGCAUGGCUGUCGUCAGCUCGUGUCGUGAGAUGUUGGGUUAAGUCCCGCAACGAGCGCAACCCUUGUUCACUGUUGCCAGCACGUUAUGGUGGGGACUCAGUGGAGACCGCCGGGGUCAACUCGGAGGAAGGUGGGGAUGACGUCAAGUCAUCAUGCCCCUUAUGUCCAGGGCUUCACGCAUGCUACAAUGGCUGGUACAGAGAGUGGCGAGCCUGUGAGGGUGAGCGAAUCUCGGAAAGCCGGUCUCAGUUCGGAUUGGGGUCUGCAACUCGACCUCAUGAAGUCGGAGUCGCUAGUAAUCGCAGAUCAGCAACGCUGCGGUGAAUACGUUCCCGGGGC